RNAcentral lists this non-coding RNA (76 nucleotides) under Candidatus Thorarchaeota archaeon. Lineage: Archaea; Promethearchaeati; Candidatus Thorarchaeota. The record is from RNAcentral.
UAUCGAAACGGGACUCCAACUCCAGGAGCUCCCGUCGUCGGGAGAUGACCUUCCCGGCCUGAUGAGAUAGGUUACU